GGGUAUAUAGCUCAGCAGCACAGUGCCUGCCUGGCAAGCACAAGGUCCUGAGUUUGAUCCCCGGUAUUCCCC
This 72-nucleotide transfer RNA is filed under the name Heterocephalus glaber (naked mole-rat). It matches the Rfam family "tRNA". From Rfam's summary of the family: Transfer RNA (tRNA) molecules are approximately 80 nucleotides in length. Lineage: Eukaryota; Metazoa; Chordata; Mammalia; Rodentia; Bathyergidae. The record is from Rfam by way of RNAcentral.